UGGCUCAGUGGUAGAGCGCUUGCCUUGAAUGCAUGAGGCCCUGGGUUCGAUACCUCAG
This 58-nucleotide transfer RNA is filed under the name Dipodomys ordii (Ord's kangaroo rat). It matches the Rfam family "tRNA", at positions 8 to 63 of the family's 71-position model. Rfam says of the family: Transfer RNA (tRNA) molecules are approximately 80 nucleotides in length. Their secondary structure includes four short double-helical elements and three loops (D, anti-codon, and T loops). Lineage: Eukaryota; Metazoa; Chordata; Mammalia; Rodentia; Heteromyidae. The record is from Rfam by way of RNAcentral.